This 1269-nucleotide long non-coding RNA is filed under the name Oncorhynchus mykiss (rainbow trout). Its description in RNAcentral is "lncRNA (ENSOMYG00000000943.2)". The record is from RNAcentral. Lineage: Eukaryota; Metazoa; Chordata; Actinopteri; Salmoniformes; Salmonidae.
AUGUAUGUAUUACAAUUAUACACUUCAACAGGGUUUACCAAUCUUGGAAAUAGGGUGCAGGCCAGGCAGCAGGCUGUUAGCCAGCCUGCCAGCAUAGUGGAGUCUGCCACUAGCACAGUCAGUGUAGUCAGCUCAGCUAUCACCAUUGAGACCGUGUCUGUGCCUCGACCUAGGUUGGGCAAAACUAAACAUGGCGGUGUUCGCCUUAGCAAUCUCACUAGGAUAAAGACCACCUCCAUUCCUGUCAUUAUUGAAAGAGAUCAUGAUACCUCACAUCUCAAAAUAGGGCUACUUAAUGUUAGAUCCCUUACUUCAAAGGCAAUUAUAGUCAAUGAACUAAUCACUGAUCAUAAUCUUGAUGUGAUUGGCCUGACUGAAACAUGGCUUAAGCCUGAUGAAUUUACUGUGUUAAAUGAGGCCUCACCUCCUGGCUACACUAGUGACCAUAUCCCCCGUGCAUCUCGCAAAGGCGGAGGUGUUGCUAACAUUUACGAUAGCAAAUUUCAAUUUACAAAAAAAAAAAAGACGUUUUCGUCUUUUGAGCUUCUAGUCAUGAAAUCUAUGCAGCCUACUCAAUCACUUUUUAUAGCUACUGUUUACAGGCCUCCUGGGCCAUAUACAGCGUUCCUCAUUGAGUUCCCCGAAUUCCUAUCGGACCUUGUAGUCAUAGCAGAUAAUAUUCUAAUCUUUGGUGACUUUAAUAUUCACAUGGAAAAGUCCACAGACCCACUCCAAAAGGCUUUCGGAGCCAUCAUCAACUCAGUGGGUUUUGUCCAACAUGUCUCUGGACCAACUCACUGUCACAGUCAUACGCUGGACCUAGUUUUGUCCCAUGGAAUAAAUGUUGUGGAUCUUAAUGUUUUUCCUCAUAAUCCUGGACUAUUGGACCACCAUUUUAUUACGUUUGCAAUUGCAACAAAUAAUCUGCUCAGACCCCAACCAAGGAACAUCAAAAGUCGUGCUAUAAAUUCACAGACAACACAAAGAUUCCUUGAUGUCCUUCCAGAUUCCCUCUGUCUACCCAAGGACGCCAGAGGACAAAAAUCAGUUAACCACCUAACUGAGGAACUCAAUUUAACCUUGCGCAAUACCCUAGAUGCAGUUGCACCCCUAAAAAUUAAAAAAAUUUCUCAUAAGAAACUAGCUCCCUGGUACACAGAAAAUACCCGAGCUCUGAAGCAAGCUUCCAGAAAAUUGGAACGGAAAUGGCGCCACACCAAACUGGAAGUCUUCCGACUAGCUUGGAAAGACAGUACUGUGCAGUACUGA